GGGCCUGUGGUCUAGCGGCUAUGACAUCACUUUUACACAGUGGAGGUCCCCGGUUCGAAUCCGGGCAGGCCCA
RNAcentral lists this transfer RNA (73 nucleotides) under Candidatus Woesearchaeota archaeon. RNAcentral describes it as "tRNA-Val". It matches the Rfam family "tRNA". From Rfam's summary of the family: Transfer RNA (tRNA) molecules are approximately 80 nucleotides in length. Their secondary structure includes four short double-helical elements and three loops (D, anti-codon, and T loops). Lineage: Archaea; Nanobdellati; Candidatus Woesearchaeota. The record is from RNAcentral.